RNAcentral lists this ribosomal RNA (253 nucleotides) under uncultured bacterium. RNAcentral's name for it is "partial 16S ribosomal RNA". It matches the Rfam family "Bacterial small subunit ribosomal RNA", at positions 524 to 776 of the family's 1533-position model. The record is from RNAcentral.
UACGUAGGGACCGAGCGUUGUCCGGAAUCAUUGGGCGUAAAGAGCGUGUAGGCGGCCACUUAAGUCCUGCGUGAAAUCUUGCGGCUCAACCGCAAGCGGUCGUGGGAAACUGGGUGGCUAGAGUGCGGGAGAGGAGAGUGGAAUUCCUGGUGUAGCGGUGGAAUGCGCAGAUAUCAGGAAGAACAUCCGUGGCGAAGGCGGCUCACUGGACCGGUACUGACGCUGAUGCGCGAAAGCGUGGGGAGCAAACAGG